ACGAACGCUGGCGGCAUGCCUAACACAUGCCAGUCGAACGAGACCUUCGGGUCUAGUGGCGCACGGGUGCGUAACGCGUGGGAACCUGCCCUUAGGUUCGGAAUAACUCCCCGAAAGGGGUGCUAAUACCGGAUAAUGUCUUCGGACCAAAGAUUUAUCGCCUUUGGAUGGGCCCGCGUUGGAUUAGCUAGUUGGUAGGGUAAAAGCCUACCAAGGCGACGAUCCAUAGCUGGUCUGAGAGGAUGAGCAGCCACACUGGGACUGAGACACGGCCCAGACUCCUACGGGAGGCAGCAGUGGGGAAUAUUGGACAAUGGGCGAAAGCCUGAUCCAGCAAUGCCGCGUGAGUGAUGAAGGCCUUAGGGUUGUAAAGCUCUUUCACCCGGGAUGAUAAUGACAGUACCGGGAGAAUAAGCUCCGGCUAACUCCGUG
This 432-nucleotide ribosomal RNA is filed under the name uncultured bacterium. RNAcentral describes it as "partial 16S ribosomal RNA". It matches the Rfam family "Bacterial small subunit ribosomal RNA", at positions 29 to 507 of the family's 1533-position model. The record is from RNAcentral.